This 293-nucleotide ribosomal RNA is filed under the name uncultured eukaryote. Its description in RNAcentral is "partial 18S ribosomal RNA". It matches the Rfam family "Eukaryotic small subunit ribosomal RNA", at positions 6 to 298 of the family's 1831-position model. The record is from RNAcentral.
GGUUGAUCCUGCCAGUAGUCAUAUGCUUGUCUAAAAGAUUAAGCCAUGCAAGUCUAAGUAUAAGCAAUUAUACUGUGAAACUGCAGAAAGCUCAUUAUAUCAGUUAUAGUUUAUUUGAUGGUACCCUUCUACAUGGAUAACUGUAGUAAUUCUAGAGCUAAUACCUGUCGGAAUUCCUGACUCGCAAGGGAAAGGAUGGACUUAUUAGAUACUCCGCCAACCUGGCUUGCCAGUUCUAUGGUGAAUCAUAAUAAUUUCUAGAUCGCAUGCUCUUCGGGGUGGCGAUGGGUCAU